RNAcentral lists this long non-coding RNA (910 nucleotides) under Anser cygnoides (Swan goose). RNAcentral's name for it is "lncRNA (ENSACDG00005015445.1)". The record is from RNAcentral. Lineage: Eukaryota; Metazoa; Chordata; Aves; Anseriformes; Anatidae.
AUGAAUGAUCCCUGCCCUGCCUCUGGAAACACUUUACUGAAGGAAGAAGUGAAGGAGUGGGCCGAUUUUAUUCUACAUAUCUUCUUUGGGAUGUGCAGAAGGCCCUACAAUGCUAUCUGGAGACAUUGUGUGCCAGAAAUUGCCUUGAGAGAAUUUUCUUCUAUGCUUUAUCCUGAACUGUUUAUAUGGCUGUUCAACGCUCUUCCAGCAACUAUUAAAGGAAGCUUGUGCUCAUGCGGUGUCCUGUGAAUGUGACUUGAUGAACAUACCUACCAGAAAAUAAGCUGGGGUAAAGCAGAUGCUGCCCUGGAGAAAAUCCAGACUGUGUGAGAGUGGCAUUUUGCUUUGCUUUCCAUAGAAAAAUUGUAGUUGCUCAGAUAUAAAUUAACCUUACAAUAUUGGCCUCCUCUUGUUACACUUUGUUCAUUUGAAAUCAUAGUCAGACAUCAUGAAGGGAUUUAAUUUUUUUGCAACUCCUGGUCUAGGUUCCCUGUUAUUUAUUUAUUUAUUUCCCCCCCCCAGAAAUCAUUUUCAGCCUUCUUCACCCAAACUAGUGACAGGAAGCCAGGUGAAGCUCUCCUGCCUGCUACGUGUAUGUUCAGAGGGAUGCUUUGGCCUGACAUGAUGCGCGAUGGCAAUUCUCGUCCGGAAGCCCCGUGGCCCCAGCAGCAGUGCAGCUCGGCUGCUGGCGAGAGGUGCUGGGGCUGCAGGGCUGAGGGAGCCGCGACCCCAGGCACGCCGCCCCACGCCAGCCCACUGCCACUGGCUGCUGCCCACUGAGCCGGCGCUGGUGGGGCCUGCUGCUGAGCUGCUAUGCUGUGCUGGAGAUUGCCAAAACUGUGUUACCCACGCUCUUUAAUUACUUUGGCUUUCACAGGUAAGAUAAUUCAGGGUAGCUGAGCUGCCUCUU